This 489-nucleotide unclassified non-coding RNA is filed under the name Hevea brasiliensis (rubber tree). Lineage: Eukaryota; Viridiplantae; Streptophyta; Magnoliopsida; Malpighiales; Euphorbiaceae. The record is from RNAcentral.
GGAUUUUGAAAAUCAUCCAUAGCUCCAGCCAAAGCAGGCACAACUAGAUGGUGAUAUUGAGCCUGCAAAUCUGGGCCUAGGUCAGUAGACAACUGGCCAAUCGCAUUAAUAGCUGCCCAUCGUACACGUGGAUGCGGAUGUUGGAAUGAAUUCAAAACCAUAGAGAGCACUUGCUCAAGAUUCUUUAUCAUUACCUUCGAGCAACCCUCUGCAAUUUGUGAGAGUGCAAUAAGUGCUGCAUGGUGUUUUUGCCAUUCGGGUGCAGCCAAGAAAGCUGGAAACAUCUCGGAGGCAACAGGCACAAUAGAAUUGCCACCCAAUGAAAUAGAAAGUCUAUCCAAACACUCUUGGCCAAACCCAUAAUUGUCACUCUCACCAGCAUCCUCAUCCUCGGUAUCUGCAGUAUGCCAGGCAGGAUCGUCCUCGAUAUCCAACAACAUAUUCAUAAGUAUCCCAAACAACCUACUUAUAAACUGUGGCAACUUCCUC